This 492-nucleotide ribosomal RNA is filed under the name Anaplasma phagocytophilum. Its description in RNAcentral is "bacterial SSU rRNA". It matches the Rfam family "Bacterial small subunit ribosomal RNA", at positions 110 to 638 of the family's 1533-position model. The record is from RNAcentral. Lineage: Bacteria; Pseudomonadati; Pseudomonadota; Alphaproteobacteria; Rickettsiales; Anaplasmataceae.
AGAAUGCAUAGGAAUCUACCUAGUAGUAUGGGAUAGCCCUAGAAAUGGUGGGUAAUACUGUAUAAUCCCUGCGGGGGAAAGAUUUAUCGCUAUUAGAUGAGCCUAUGUUAGAUUAGCUAGUUGGUAGGGUAAAGGCCUACCAAGGCGAUGAUCUAUAGCUGGUCUGAGAGGAUGAUCAGCCACACUGGAACUGAGAUACGGUCCAGACUCCUACGGGAGGCAGCAGUGGGGAAUAUUGGACAAUGGGCGCAAGCCUGAUCCAGCUAUGCCGCGUGAGUGAGGAAGGCCUUAGGGUUGUAAAACUCUUUCAGUAGGGAAGAUAAUGACGGUACCUACAGAAGAAGUCCCGGCAAACUCCGUGCCAGCAGCCGCGGUAAUACGGAGGGGGCAAGCGUUGUUCGGAAUUAUUGGGCGUAAAGGGCAUGUAGGCGGUUCGGUAAGUUAAAGGUGAAAUGCCAGGGCUUAACCCUGGAGCUGCUUUUAAUACUGCCA